UACAGGGGGGGCAAGUAUUAUUCUACAUGACUGGGCGUAAAGGAUGUGUAGGCUGUUUUUUUAAAUAAUAAUUAGAAAUCCCAUAUUAAAAUUAUGGAAAUUUUUAUUAUAUUGUAAAACUUUGAGUUUAUAAAAGAUAAUAGAACCGAUAGAGUAACAGUGAAAUGUUCGAAAACUAUAGGGAAUCCCAGUUGGCGAAGGCGAUUAUCUUGUUAAAACUGACGCUGAUACAUGAAGGUUUGGGGAGCAAACAGG
RNAcentral lists this ribosomal RNA (255 nucleotides) under uncultured bacterium. RNAcentral's name for it is "partial 16S ribosomal RNA". It matches the Rfam family "Bacterial small subunit ribosomal RNA", at positions 524 to 776 of the family's 1533-position model. The record is from RNAcentral.